Molecule: long non-coding RNA, 215 nt
Filed under: Mytilus galloprovincialis (Mediterranean mussel)
Lineage: Eukaryota; Metazoa; Mollusca; Bivalvia; Mytilida; Mytilidae
Source: RNAcentral
UGGGCGCGAACAUGUAGGGUGCGAACGGACGUGGGGGCGAAAAUGUGAGGUGCGAACGUGUAGGGUGAGAAACUAUAUUGGGCGCGAACGGACCUGAUACCUUAAGUGACGAAUGUUUAUGGGGCGAUACUGAACACGUGAUACAGCUGUUUUAUGGAGUCCUAUGGACGCCGAUUAAAUUCAAUCUGAAUCUGGAGAAACUGGUUGAAAAUGAG